Long non-coding RNA from Cyprinus carpio carpio, 1028 nucleotides. Lineage: Eukaryota; Metazoa; Chordata; Actinopteri; Cypriniformes; Cyprinidae. The record is from Ensembl.
AGGAUGAGAGAUUUUUCAGGAAUGAACUCAGCAGGAGGGUAUAUAGAACAUGUUGUUCCAAUGUGCAGUUAUGCGUAUCCCUGAAAGGAAAGGUCUGUCCAGACCUCUAUGGAAACGGAGUAUUAUCAAAAAUUGUCAUCCAAGUACACAAUUGAAGCCGGCUCCAGGAAUUCCUCUGCAUACACUGCAUUGGGACAGCCAUUUUGAGUGAGGGAGACCAAAAAAUCAAUUGGAUGGAGAAGUAUACUCAUGCUGCUGGAUGCUAUGUCUUGGGUUUGGUCUUCUGUCAGGGAAACACACACCGGUCAGUAAGUUUUCAAAACAAUCCAAGACACACUAUUUACAGAACUGAAUGCAAAUGUUAGACAGCAGAGCAGAGGAUAUGAUGGAGAUGGGAGAUGAAUGAAAGAUCAUUGGGAAACUGGAAGGAGAAGAGGAGUUGGAGACUGGAAAGAGGAACACGGAGAGGGUCAAAGAGUGCAGAGCAUCCUGUACCCUGAAAAUCUGGCAGAGUGUGCAUUACCCUGGACAUGACGUCCAUGCCAACACUUUACACCAAGAAAGACAUUGGGCUCCGUUCCAAAAGCCAACUGCCUCAUUUUGCUUUUAGCAUAUUCUUAAGCUAAAAACACUGAACACUAAUAAGCAUAAAACAUUUCACACACAAAUAUUGUGUAAAAAAAAAAAUAAUAAUAAAAAAUAAAAAUAAUAAUAAAAAAAAUUAUUUAUAUUAGACUAAACUUACUUUUUACUGACUUAAAAAAAUGUUAAUUAAAUACUUUUUUUUUUUAAUUACUAAAUUGCAACUUACAAAUGUGUAAUUAUAGAUAUAUUUAAAUACAUUGCAGACAAGAUUCUUUAGAAAUGACAUUAAAGCAUAUCCUAAAUAUAAAAACUGUUUUAUAUUUAUACAUGAAACAUGCUCUAUUUAACUGGUCAGUGGAAGAACACAUUCAAUAUAGUUUCUGUUUUGGAGAAAUUAAUGGAGCUUUUGAUUCAGUCUCUUGUAAUUGUCAAUUUGGUCUCAG